GCUGAAAGUCCGGAUUUAAAGUGCAGAAAAUUAAGCCAUUGAAUCUGCCUGUCCAUGACGUACAAAGACACACUAUGAGCCAGUAUGAUCCGACCAGACCUUACAUCAGCAUUGAGGAGUUGUCGGAGAAGAAAGAGGCUGAUUGAAGCGGGACAGAUGACAUGGAUCCAUCCUUCCACAGCCAGGAGCGCACCGACCUGUGUCCCACACUUCAUAUAAGACUGGAAGCUACACUGAUCUCACAGCUACACACCACAGACGUCUACACACUGGAGAAGAUUCAGACAGAGUCCCACAAAGAAGUCAUGACCCAGAGGCUGCAGAGAAACAUUUCAAGCCUCAUCUGAGUUUUUGUACAAUAUUUUUGCUGUAUGUAAAUAAAGCUUUCACUCCACAUA
Limanda limanda (common dab) is the source of this 398-nucleotide long non-coding RNA. RefSeq lists it as uncharacterized. The transcript is spliced from 3 exons. The record is from RefSeq and is a predicted model, not a curated record. NCBI's taxonomy places the organism in Eukaryota, Metazoa, Chordata, Actinopteri, Pleuronectiformes, Pleuronectidae.